AAGAGAGAGAGAGAGAGAGGCAGGCAAAGAGAGAGAGAGAGAGGCAGGCAAAAAGAGAGAGAGAGAGGCAGGCAAAGAGAGAGAGAGAGAGAGAGGCAGGCAAAGAGAGAGAGAGAGAGAGGCAGGCAAAGAGAGAGAGAGAGAGAGGCAGGCAAAGAGAGAGAGAGAGAGAGGCAGGCAAAGAGAGAGAGAGAGAGAGAGGCAGGCAAAGAGAGAGAGAGAGAGAGAGGCAGGCAAAGAGAGAGAGAGAGAGAGAGAGAGAGAGAGAGAGAGAGAGGCAGGCAAAGAGAGAGAGAGCCGCAGGGAGAAAGAGGCAGAGAGAGAGAGAAAAACAGAGAAAGAAAGGCAGAGAGAGAAAAAGAGGCAGAGAAAGAGAGGCAGAGAGAGAGAGAGAGGCAGAGAGAGAGAGAGGCAGAGAGAGUGAGAGAGGCAGAGAAAGUGAGGCAGAGAGAAAGUGAGGCAGAGAGAGAGAGAAGAAGAGACAAAGAGAAGCAGAUAGAGAGGCAGAGAGAGAGAGAGGCAGAGAGAGAGGCAGAGAGAGAGAGAGGCAGCGAGAGAGAGAGGCACAGAGAGAGAGAGAGGCAGAGAGAGAGGCAGAGAGAGAGGCAGAGAGAAAGAGAGGCAGAGAGAAAGAGAGGCAGAGAGAAAGAGAGGCAGAGAAAGGGAGAGAGAGGCAGAGAGAGAGAGAGAGAGUGAGAGAGGCAGAGAGAGAGAAGCAGAGAGAGAGA
Long non-coding RNA from Oncorhynchus tshawytscha (Chinook salmon), 728 nucleotides. Lineage: Eukaryota; Metazoa; Chordata; Actinopteri; Salmoniformes; Salmonidae. The record is from Ensembl.